RNAcentral lists this long non-coding RNA (637 nucleotides) under Homo sapiens (human). RNAcentral's name for it is "non-protein coding lnc-VILL-1:1". The record is from RNAcentral. Lineage: Eukaryota; Metazoa; Chordata; Mammalia; Primates; Hominidae.
AAUAAAAUUAGGUGGUUACAACAGAACACUGCUCAUUUUCUACUCUCUACAAAUGAUAAAACUAUAAAAUUAUGGAAAAGAAGCGGAUGAGAUAAAAGAGCAGAAAGUUAUAACUUGAAUGAUGAAGAUGGAUGACUUCAAGAUUCAUUUAGAAUUACAGCACUAUCAAUGACCUGAGGAUUAAUUUAUGACACUUAGAAAUCACACAUAGACAUUUUGACGUGGUAGACAUCAAACCUGCUAACCUGGAGCAGCUGACAGAAGUCAUUGUGGCAGCCAAGUUCCACUCAUACCAGUGCAAUGUGCUUGUCUACAGUAGUAGCAAAGGAACCAUUGACUAAGCAGCAUGGGCUCCUCGACCCUGUGCAACAGACACUCCAAGUUUUUUGAAGAGCCUCAAGAUCCCAGCAGUAGGUCCUUCUUCUCAGAAAUAAUUUCAUCCAUACCCAAUGUAAAAUGUAGCCAUAGUGGGCAGUACCUGAUGACCAGAGACUCCCUGUUGGUGAAGGUGUGGGACCUCAACAUAGAGAGCAGGCUGGGACCACACCGGGACCACGAGUACCUGCACAGCAAGCUCUGCUUUCUCUAUGAGAAUGACUGCAUCUUUGAUAGCUUUGAAUGUUGCUGGAAUGGUUCG